AACACAUGCAAGUCGAACGGAAAGGCCAGUGCUUGCACUGGUACUCGAGUGGCGAACGGGUGAGUAACACGUGGGUGAUCUGCCCUGCACUACGGGAUAAGCCUGGGAAACUGGGUCUAAUACCGGAUAGGACCACAUUUUGGAUGGUGUGGUGGAAAGUUUUUCGGUGUGGGAUGAGCUCGCGGCCUAUCAGCUUGUUGGUGGGGUAAUGGCCUACCAAGGCGUCGACGGGUAGCCGGCCUGAGAGGGUGUACGGCCACAUUGGGACUGAGAUACGGCCCAGACUCCUACGGGAGGCAGCAGUGGGGAAUAUUGCACAAUGGGCGCAAGCCUGAUGCAGCGACGCCGCGUGGGGGAUGACGGCCUUCGGGUUGUAAACUCCUUUCGCUAGGGACGAAGCGCAAGUGACGGUACCUGGAGAAGAAGCACCGGCUAACUACGUGCCAGCAGCCGCGGUAAUACGUAGGGUGCGAGCGUUGUCCGGAAUUACUGGGCGUAAAGAGCUCGUAGGUGGUUUGUCGCGUCGUUUGUGUAAGCCCGCAGCUUAACUGCGGGACUGCAGGCGAUACGGGCAUAACUUGAGUGCUGUAGGGGAGACUGGAAUUCCUGGUGUAGCGGUGGAAUGCGCAGAUAUCAGGAGGACACCGAUGGCGAAGGC
Molecule: ribosomal RNA, 658 nt
Filed under: uncultured Actinomycetes bacterium
Lineage: Bacteria; Bacillati; Actinomycetota; Actinomycetes
Description: bacterial SSU rRNA
Rfam family: Bacterial small subunit ribosomal RNA
Source: RNAcentral